Molecule: ribosomal RNA, 587 nt
Filed under: uncultured Arthrobacter sp.
Lineage: Bacteria; Bacillati; Actinomycetota; Actinomycetes; Micrococcales; Micrococcaceae
Description: bacterial SSU rRNA
Rfam family: Bacterial small subunit ribosomal RNA
Source: RNAcentral
CCUACAGCUUGUUGGUGAGGUAAUGGCUCACCAAGGCGACGACGGGUAGCCGGCCUGAGAGGGUGACCGGCCACACUGGGACUGAGACACGGCCCAGACUCCUACGGGAGGCAGCAGUGGGGAAUAUUGCACAAUGGGCGAAAGCCUGAUGCAGCGACGCCGCGUGAGGGAUGACGGCCUUCGGGUUGUAAACCUCUUUCAGUAGGGAAGAAGCGAAAGUGACGGUACCUGCAGAAGAAGCGCCGGCUAACUACGUGCCAGCAGCCGCGGUAAUACGUAGGGCGCAAGCGUUAUCCGGAUUUAUUGGGCGUAAAGAGCUCGUAGGCGGUUUGUCGCGUCUGCCGUGAAAGUCCGAGGCUCAACCUCGGAUCUGCGGUGGGUACGGGCAGACUAGAGUGAUGUAGGGGAGACUGGAAUUCCUGGUGUAGCGGUGAAAUGCGCAGAUAUCAGGAGGAACACCGAUGGCGAAGGCAGGUCUCUGGGCAUUUACUGACGCUGAGGAGCGAAAGCAUGGGGAGCGAACAGGAUUAGAUACCCUGGUAGUCCAUGCCGUAAACGUUGGGCACUAGGUGUGGGGGACAUUCCAC